Molecule: long non-coding RNA, 947 nt
Organism: Anguilla anguilla (European eel)
Lineage: Eukaryota; Metazoa; Chordata; Actinopteri; Anguilliformes; Anguillidae
Exons: 3
Source: RefSeq, a predicted model, not a curated record
ACGUUGUUGUGAAAGCCAGGUCAGUGGUUCCAGUCAGCGUAGCACAGACACAGAAGUGCUUCCGGUUAAGGAUGCUGAAGAAGUCAAACUUUUUAAGAACUAAAACUCUAUGAAGAUCUACCAAGAAAGCGACUAGACUGUCACGGUUUAAGGUUUAACGGAUAGAGUGAUAACUUAGAGAAUGGUCAUAAAUACAUUACGGUUGACAAGAAACGACAUUUCUAGCUAAAAUAUUUCUAUUGGCUAAUUACUAUCUGAUUCUCAGCAGUCAAGUUUGCUCGAGUGUCUACAUUGCUGUACUGGGUGACGAUGUAAAAUAUUUCGGCUGUUAAUGUAACAGCCCAUAAAUGUAUCUGGCUAGCUAGCGAAAUGUUACAAUAACUUGUAUGGUUGCAGUCCACUUCGUUGUGUCAGCCAUCUAUUUGGAAAUAUAACGUUAGCUAACGAUAUAUUUUUGGCUUGCUACACGUCGAUAUCAUCUCCUUGCUGAGUAUAACCGUGCUAUACUUGCAAGCGUCGGCUUUUAGUUCGCAAUGGAGUGUAGUUCAUCAAUGAGCUUUGUACAGCCACCGCAAAAAUCAGUUGACCUUGUGCGCCCUCAUGCUAAGUCACGACCAACAAGAAAAAAUGUCAGUAUGUCAAUAAUCUCUAGACGAUAUGGUAUUUUCUACAAAGAUGCUGGAACAUUGCUCAGAAAAAAUAUGAAAAUUCUUCGACAAAUUGUUCUUCAGGACACCACGAAUUUCACAAAGGUCUGGGCAAUGCAUUCAAAGUCCCCAAUCGCAUAUGAAAGUGGAAGAAUUUACUUUGAAAACUACCGGUGUUGCUACAGUAGUUGUCCUUCUAAGCCACAAUUCCUUUAUGAAUUACCAAAACGCACCAAGGCGGAAAAGUUAGAAGAUGCAUUAUUGUGUCAAUGUCCGCUUGUAAGUAAAUUCUGACAUCUU